GGCAUAUUAUCAAUACUUACUAGCUAGUGUAUACAUUGCAAGUUAAAAAUUAAAGAAGCCAUGAUAGCUCAAAUCCUCCCAUUACCAUGAACUAUGAAUAAAUAUGCAAGUCAGAAUAAAAAGUAACAGUAUAAAGGAGU
Long non-coding RNA from Perognathus longimembris pacificus (Pacific pocket mouse), 140 nucleotides. RefSeq lists it as uncharacterized. The transcript is spliced from 3 exons. NCBI's taxonomy places the organism in Eukaryota, Metazoa, Chordata, Mammalia, Rodentia, Heteromyidae. The record is from RefSeq and is a predicted model, not a curated record.